This 253-nucleotide ribosomal RNA is filed under the name uncultured bacterium. Its description in RNAcentral is "partial 16S ribosomal RNA". It matches the Rfam family "Bacterial small subunit ribosomal RNA", at positions 524 to 776 of the family's 1533-position model. The record is from RNAcentral.
UACGUAGGGUGCAAGCGUUGUCCGGAAUUAUUGGGCGUAAAGAGCUCGUAGGCGGUCUGUCGCGUCUGCUGUGAAAGCUCAGGGCUUAACCCUGAGCUUGCAGUGGGUACGGGCAGACUAGAGUGCGGUAGGGGAGACUGGAAUUCCUGGUGUAGCGGUGAAAUGCGCAGAUAUCUGGAGGAACACCGGUGGCGAAGGCGGCAUUCUGGACCGACAUUGACGCUGAGGAGCGAAAGCCAGGGGAGCAAACGGG